RNAcentral lists this long non-coding RNA (1059 nucleotides) under Capra hircus (goat). RNAcentral's name for it is "lncRNA (ENSCHIG00010019905.1)". Lineage: Eukaryota; Metazoa; Chordata; Mammalia; Artiodactyla; Bovidae. The record is from RNAcentral.
GAUGAGUGGUUCAAGGAGGAGGGUGGGGAGGGGCUUCCAGUGGGUUUUAGGAGGUUAAGUGUGAGCAAAGCGGGAAUUUCCAUGCAUCUUUGGAGAGCCUGGGGAGACUGCCCUUGGAGGGCAACCAGCAACCCCUCCAGGGACACGAGUGGGGAAAGCCCCUCAGUUUACAUCAGUCAUAGCAAUUACUAAGCACCUAUUAUGAGCCCAGAGCUGGGCUUGGGGUGAUAAAAAAUGUGAUUCAAGUAAGAAUGUAAGCUGCUGCCUGACCUCAAGGAACUCCAGUGCUGUUAGAGAUACAGGACAAAUCUCCAUGAAAAGAGGAAAGCAAGACAGAUUGGGUGUAGUGUCUGCGUGGGUGGAAUGGGCCAUGGGUUCAUUUGGAUGGCAAGCCACUCAGUCUCAGUCAAUGACACAAAAAAGUACCUUCACACAGCCUGUUGCAGGCACAGCGGCUUCCAGGGCAGUGAUUCAGGGAUCCAGUGACUUCAUCUCAUGCCUCCCUCUUCCAGGUGACAGAGGGAGAGAGAGACGCUGGAUCACCACUCACUAGUUCUUCAGGGCUUUAGCCCAGAGGGGGCACAAGGUACCUCCCCUUGAGGCCCAUUGGCCAGAACUAGUCACAUGGCCGCAGACAAACUGCAAGGGAGGCUGGGAAAUGGGGGCCACCGAGGUACAGAGAAAAUGUCUGAGAAUGGAAUGUCUCUCCCACAGCCACUUAUUGGUACCGGGACCCCGAAGGCUGAUGGAGUGGAAGGAGUUUUAAAGGGUUGUUGCACAGAGCAAGCAAGUGCCAUGCUCAGGGGGCGGGGAAAAGCCCUGGGAGAGAUUUCAGGAGAAUUGCCAGGCAGCUCCAGACAAGUGCCCCAGGUUUAUUUAUCAACUUCGUCUGGCUGGCCUGGGGCGGGCAUGCGUGUCUAUUGGAUGAAUUCGGAGCUUGGGACUGAGAUUCUUCUACUCUCAAAUCCCGAGGAAGUCUCCUCACACAGUCUCCCUAGAAAGAACCCCGCAGCUCUUAUCUCUGUGGCUCCAAAGGGCGCUAAACAAACCCCACAGUGA